GAUGAAGAACGUAGCGAAAUGCGAUAAGUAGUGUGAAUUGCAGAAUUCAGUGAAUCAUCGAAUCUUUGAACGCACAUUGCGCCCCUUGGUAUCCCGAGGGGCAUGCCUGUUCGAGCGUCAUUACAACCCUCAAGCUCUGCUUGGUAUUGGGCCCCGCCAGUUCUGGCGGGCCCUAAAGUCAGUGGCGGUGCCUUCCGGCUCCGAGCGUAGUAAUUCUUCUCGCUCUGGAGACCCGGUUGUGUGCUUGCCAACAACCCCCAAUUUUUUAAGGUUGACCUCGGAUCAGGUAGGGAUACCCGCUGAACUUAAGCAUAUCAAUAAGCGGAGGA
This 329-nucleotide unclassified non-coding RNA is filed under the name soil metagenome. RNAcentral's name for it is "partial contains 5.8S ribosomal RNA, internal transcribed spacer 2, and large subunit ribosomal RNA". The stretch from base 1 to 120 matches the Rfam family "5.8S ribosomal RNA", at positions 35 to 154 of the family's 154-position model. The record is from RNAcentral.